UACGGAGGGUGCAAGCGUUAUCCGGAUUCACUGGGUUUAAAGGGUGCGUAGGUGGGCAGGUAAGUCAGUGGUGAAAUCCCCGAGCUUAACUUGGGAACUGCCGUUGAUACUAUCUGUCUUGAAUACUGCGGAGGUAAGCGGAAUAUGUCAUGUAGCGGUGAAAUGCUUAGAGAUGACAUAGAACACCAAUUGCGAAGGCAGCUUGCUACACAGUAAUUGACGCUGAGGCAAGAAAGCGUGGGGAGCAAACAGG
RNAcentral lists this ribosomal RNA (253 nucleotides) under uncultured bacterium. RNAcentral describes it as "partial 16S ribosomal RNA". It matches the Rfam family "Bacterial small subunit ribosomal RNA", at positions 524 to 776 of the family's 1533-position model. The record is from RNAcentral.